This 253-nucleotide ribosomal RNA is filed under the name uncultured bacterium. RNAcentral describes it as "partial 16S ribosomal RNA". It matches the Rfam family "Bacterial small subunit ribosomal RNA", at positions 524 to 776 of the family's 1533-position model. The record is from RNAcentral.
UACGGGGGGGGCAAGCGUUGUUCGGAAUUACUGGGCGGAAAGGGCGCGUAGGCGGUGCUCUAAGUUAGAUGUGAAAACUCUGGGCUCAACCCAGAGCCUGCAUCUAAAACUGGAGUGCUAGAGUUCUGGAGGGGGUAGCGGAAUUCCUGGUGUAGCGGUGAAAUGCGUAGAUAUCAGGAGGAACACCGGUGGCGAAGGCGGCUACCUGGACAGAAACUGACGCUGAGGCGCGAAAGCUAGGGGAGCAAACAGG